This is a non-coding RNA of Phrynosoma platyrhinos (Desert horned lizard), 73 nucleotides long. NCBI's taxonomy places the organism in Eukaryota, Metazoa, Chordata, Lepidosauria, Squamata, Phrynosomatidae. The record is from the annotation of a GenBank genome assembly.
GGCAAUGUGGCGUAAUGGUUUAAGUAGUGGACUACUGACUCUGGAGACCAGGGUUCGAUUCCCAGCUCUGCCA